This 4759-nucleotide long non-coding RNA is filed under the name Sus scrofa (pig). Its description in RNAcentral is "lncRNA (ENSSSCG00025008972.1)". Lineage: Eukaryota; Metazoa; Chordata; Mammalia; Artiodactyla; Suidae. The record is from RNAcentral.
CACACAAUUGAUAGGCUUGGAAACAGCAUAAAAUGGUUUGAGAAAUUUAUUUAAGUCAUUAUCUAUAGAGCUAAAGCAUUUCUAACUUAUCAUAGAAUGCUUUCAUCAGAAGAGAAAAGCACUAAGCUAACGAUUUCAACCAUUCAUUUCCUGGAAGGUUUUAGGAUUUAUUAAAUGACAUUGGUUUAUAAUAUCAUACAGAAAUGGUGUGUUUACCUAUUAUUAACACGAAUGUAUCUGCACUACUAGUCAAAAAUAUUAAUCACAUUGAUUAUCCUUAAGCCAUUUCUAGUUCAUUAUAAUUAAGGCAUAGGUAUUAAUUUUCCAAGUAUUCAAUAAGACUGCUUGUCAAAUUAAAAAACAAUCAAUAAAUUCUACAAAGUGAUGAAACAAAAUCAUUUAACAUAAUUGGAUGUUCUCAUGGACCACAUUAACAUUAAUCUCAAGGAUAGAUUAAGAAUCAAUGUGACUUACUGUGUCAUCAGAAAUCCUGGUUCUGCCAGUAAACACUCCUUAAAUCCACCAAAGUGAUCUAAUUGUGCCCUGUGGAACACUGUUUAUGUCACUAUGUAGGAAAAAAUUCAGUUUUUCCUCAACUCUCACACUCUUCCCACCCUCACAACACCUCAAACAUCAAAUGUGCAUUGGUUUUCCCUACACCAAGCAAUACUGUGACACCAGCUGGGUGUGCUGCCAUUUAACUCAAUUCUGACACUAUCUCCCUGAAGAUAGCACCAGAUCCAAUAGAUGAAGGGCUCAGGCCUACAAGACUGUCCUCCACUCAGAGGCCACUGACAAGUCUUAAGUUACCCAUAACUUUGACUUGGCCACUAACUGAAGUUCCCAUGAUCUCCCCACCCGCUUGGAUUUGAUUAUUUGCUAGAGAAGCUCACAGAACUCAGGGAAACACUUGUUUAUGAGUUUAUUAAAGGAUAUGAAAAAAGAGCCAGAUGAAGAAAUACAUAGGACAAGGUCUAGGAGGGUCCUGAGCACUGAAGCUUCUGUCUCUGUGGAGCUGGGGUGUGACACUCUCCUGGUACUUGGAAAUGUUCAUCUAUCUACCUGGAAGCUCUCCAAAUCCCAUACUUUUGGGAUUCUUAUGCAGGCUUCCUCAUGUAAGCAUAAUCAAUGAUUAACCCCAUUUGUAGACCCUCUCCCUUCUCUGAAGAAUGAGGGGUGGGCAGAUAAUUCAGACCAUUAGUCAAAUUCUAAAUAUGCUUUUGCCUUUAUGGAGACCAGCCCUCACCCAGGAGCCAACCAGAGUCACCUCAUUCCAGCAAAAGACAUUCCUGUCACCCAGCAAGUUCCAAGCGAUUCAGGAGCUCUGUGUUAGGCACAGGGUCAAAGACCAAAGAGGACAACAAAAGAUGCUCCUGGUGCUCUUACUAGUUAGGAGAUUUACAAGGGUUUCAGGAGCCCUGUGUCAGAAACCAGCCUAUAUAUAUAUUACAUAUAUUCCUUAUUAUUUCAGUCAUUCAUAACAGGACUCUCCAAGUCAUUUGAUUUUUCACACUCUAUUGUCCCAGAGAACAGUAUGCAUACAUAAUUUUAUCCCUUUUAUCACUCAUCCCUCCACUCCUGAAAACAUUGUGUCCCGAGUCCAUUUUCGGCAAAAUCCUUCUGUCCUAAAAUUAGCUUCUGAAUGUCCCUUUCCCUUUCUUACUCUAACACAACAUUAUUCUCCUUUGUUUUUCUGUGAUGGCAGAUUCACCUCCCACAGGCUUUUAAAUAAUAAAUUAGCUAUAUACAAAGAAGGAAAAAUUUUCACAAAUGAAGCAACUGAUAAGGGAUUAACCUCCAAGAUAUGUAAAUGUCUCAUGCAGAUUUAUAUUUUAAGAAACCCCAAUCAAAAAAUGGGCAGUAGACCUAAAGAGACAUUUCUCCAAAGAAAACAAAAGGAUGGACAAAAUCCCAUGAAAAGAUGUUCAAUACCCCCAAUCAUUAGAGAAAUGCAAAGUAAACUACAAUGAGGUAUCACCUCACAACCAAUAAGAAGUGCCCUCAUCAAAAAGUCUAGACAAUAAAUUCUAGAGAGGGUGUUGAGGAAAGAGAACCCUUCCCACACUGUUGGUGAGAAUGUAAAUUGGUGCAACCACUAUGGAAAACAGUAUGGAGUUUCCCUAAAAAAAAAAAAAAAAAAACUAAAUAUAGAACUACCAUAUGAUAUGACCCAGCAAUCCCACUCCUGAGCAUAUAUAUCCAGAGAAAACCAUAAUUUGAAAAGAUAGAUACACACCAGUGUUCAUUGCAGCACUAUUUACAAUAGCCAAGAAAUGGAAGCAACCAGAAUGUCCAUCAAGAAAAAACUGGAUCAAGAAGCUGUGGUACAUAUAUAAAAUGGAAUAUUACCCAACCACAGAAAAAGAAUGAAAUAACACCAUUUGCAGAAACAUGGAUGAACCUAAAGAUUAUACUGAAUGAAGUAAAUCAGAGAAAGACAAAUAUCAUGAUAUCACCUAUGUGUGGAAUCCCGUUAAAAAUGAUACAAUAAAAUUUAUAAAACAAACUCACAGAUUUCUAAACUUAUGGUUAACAAAGGAGAAACUGUGGGAGGGGGAUGGAUCAAUUGAGGGGGUGGGAUUAACACAUGCAUAUACACACUACUAUAUAUAAAAUACAUAACAAAAGGACCCACUGUAUAGCACAUGCAGGUCUAUCCAAUGUUCUGUAAUACCCUAUGUGGGGGAAAAGAAUAGAUAUAUGUAUAACUGAUUCACUUUCCUGUACACCUGAAGCUAAUACAACAUUGUAAGUCAACUAUACUCCAAAUCACUAAACACAAAUUCAGUAUAAUCUUAACUCAGCCUCACUUGGUCAGACCUCAGAAAUGCCUGUGGCCAUCCAACCAAAGGGCAAGUGUGGCAGAGAUGAGGUUAGAUUGGCAGACAGUGGUUUUCACUGAUUGUGCCCCAAAAUAGUCUACGUUUGCAAAUAUUGCAAAAGCAUAUGCCCCCAUGAACACAUUGCUGGAACCCCUCCCAGGGGAUCAGCUCCUGAAGUCAAGGGGCCCUGGAACACAAGUUAGAUGUGCUUCUUGAGAAACCUCUGCUGCUUGCAAACCCCUUUCAUCUCAUUCCCUCUAGUAACUCGACCACAGACCCUCUAUUGAAAAAUUCCUCAAGCUUUUUUUUUUUGUAGUUACCUCCCCCUCUGAUGUGCUCUCAGAUAUACUCCAAUUCAUCACAUUGGAAAUGCACUGUUAGUUCUCAGGCCUCUUCCUUACUGACAGAGCCAUAGCAUUUAUCACAGCUGAAAAUUCUCUCCCACAUGUCACAAUUUGUUUGCAUAGCUCCAAAAAGAACAUUCUGUGUUUUACGCCUAGUUGAUUGCUGGUUCCGCCUCCAUAGCUUUCGCUCAUUCCCACUUCUGAACACUGGAAUGCCUGGGUCUUACUGAUUCAUUGAGUGAGACCUCUGAUCAUCUCAUUCAGUCAUCCUUUAAAUGUCCUUCAGAUGGUGCAUUCGUUGACCAAGGCUGCUCUAACAAAAUACCUCAUACUGGGCAACAGAAACUUCAGUUCUGGUGGCCAGAAGUCCAAGAUCCAGGUGUUUGGCAUGCUUGGAGUCUUUCAAGAACCCUCUUCUUGGCUUGUAGAUGGCCGUCUUCUCGUGUCUUUACAUGGUCACUCUGCAUGUUCACCCCUGCUGUCAGCUUGUGUGUCCCAAUUUCCUUUUCUUAUAAGGAUACCACUUCUGUCACAUUAGGUUAAAGUGAGGGCCUGGGGGCAGGGGUACCUACCCACCUCUUGAAAGGCUCCAUCUCCAAGUUCAGUCACCUUCUGAGUCUUAGGAAUCAGAGUUCCAACAUAGGAAUUUGGGGGUGGAGGACAAUAUUCAGUCCUUAGGAGAUGGUUACUCCAAAAUUGCUUCUUCCUGGUCAAGGCUUCUCUCUCAAAAACUCUAGCUUUGUAUAUUCAAUAGCCGAGACAACUCUACUUAAAUGUCUUUUCAGCAUCUUGAAAUCAAUCGUCUAAUAAACCUAGCUCCUAAAGUUUCUCCUGCAAAGCUGAUCCACCUACAACCACCACAGCCAGGUGCCUCCAUCACAACCUUCCCCUGCUCCAUCUUGGAGCCUCACUUGCUUUUUUCCACUCUUCCAUUGCUCUGGUUUUAAAAAAUGAACCCUUGGAAUAAUUCUUGACCCUCUCUUUAAGAGCCCACAUUCAAUCCACUGAUUUCCCAUUCAGGUGACACUCAAAACCUGACCAUUUACCGUCCUCUUUAUCACUACAUCAUCUCCUGCCUGAAUGACUGCAGGAUGGUUUCCCAAGAGGUGGCCUCUUUCUACACUUGCCCCUUUAUUGUCUAUCCUCAUCACAGAAGCCAGAGUGACUCUUAAGACUAAAGUCAGACUAUUUACUCCCCUGCUCAAGGCCCUUCAAUGGCUUGACAUUUCAAGUCAAAGCAAAUGUUCUUAUAAUAGACUACAAGGUCAUGCAUGGUCUGAGUCCUACUCCACAUCCCGUAACUCUGACCAACUUCUGUUCUUCCCACCCUGGCUUACUCCACUUCAGCCAAACUGGAGUUCCCGUCGUGGCUCAGUGUUUAACGAAUCCGACUAGGAACCAUGAGGUUGCAAGUUCGGUCCCUGCCCUUGCUCAAUGGGUUAACUAUCCGGCGUUGCAGUGAGCUGUGGUGUAGGUCACAGACACGGCUCGGAUCCUGCAUUGCUGUGGCUCUGGCGUAAGCCAGUGGCUACUGCUCCGAUUAGACCCCUAGCCUGGGAACCUCCCUAUGUCACGGGAGCGGCCCAAAGAAAU